Molecule: ribosomal RNA, 493 nt
Filed under: uncultured bacterium
Lineage: Bacteria
Description: partial 16S ribosomal RNA
Rfam family: Bacterial small subunit ribosomal RNA
Source: RNAcentral
AGUGAACGCUGGCGGUAUGCCUAACACAUGCAAGUCGAACGGCAGCACAGUAAGAUCGUGCUCUUACGGGUGGCGAGUGGCGGACGGGUGAGGAAGACAUCGGAAUCUACUUUUUCUGGGGGGAGAACGUAGGGAAACGUACGCUAAUACAGCAUACGACCUACUGGUGAAAGCAGUGGAUCUUCGGACCUUGCGCGAUUUAAUGAGCUGAUGUCGGGUUAGCUAGUAGGCGAGGUAACGGCCCACCUAGGCGACGAUCGGGAGCCGACCUGAGAGGAUGAUCGGCCACACUGGGAAGGAGACACGGCCCAGACUCCUACGGGAGGCAGCAGGAGGGAAGCGUCGGGAAUGGACGAAAGUCUGACCGAGCAACGCCGCGGGAGUGAAGAAGGUUGUCGUAUCGGAAAGCUCGGUUGUAAGAGAAGAACGGGUGUGAGAGUGGAAAGUUCACGCUGUGACGGUAGCUGACCAGAAAGGGACGGCUAACUACGUG